RNAcentral lists this ribosomal RNA (1177 nucleotides) under Ramulus sp. WS147. RNAcentral describes it as "SSU rRNA". It matches the Rfam family "Eukaryotic small subunit ribosomal RNA", at positions 689 to 1777 of the family's 1831-position model. The record is from RNAcentral. Lineage: Eukaryota; Metazoa; Arthropoda; Insecta; Phasmatodea; Phasmatidae.
CACGCUGUCGGUUCACCGCUCGUCGGUGUUUAACUGGCAUGCCGUGCGGACGUCCUGCCGGUGGAUGCGGUCGGCCGUGGGCCUCUGGUCUGCGUGUCGGCGGUCCGAUUGAAUCCUACCGCGGUGCUCUUUACCGAGUGUCGAGGUGGGCCGGCACAUUUACUUUGAACAAAUUAGAGUGCUCAAAGCAGGCAGUUGCUAGCCUGAAUAUUGUGUGCAUGGAAUAAUGGAAUAGGACCUCGGUUCUAUUUUGUUGGUUUUCGGAAUCAGAGGUAAUGAUUAAGAGGGACAAGCGGGGGCAUUCGUAUUGCGACGUUAGAGGUGAAAUUCUUGGAUCGUCGCAAGACGGACAUAAGCGAAAGCAUUUGCCAUGAGUGUUUUCAUUAAUCAAGAACGAAAGUUAGAGGUUCGAAGGCGAUCAGAUACCGCCCUAGUUCUAACCAUAAACGAUGCCAGCCAGCGAUCCGCCGAAGUUCCUCCGAUGACUCGGCGGGCAGCUUCCGGGAAACCAAAGCUUUUGGGUUCCGGGGGAAGUAUGGUUGCAAAGCUGAAACUUAAAGGAAUUGACGGAAGGGCACCACCAGGAGUGGAGCCUGCGGCUUAAUUUGACUCAACACGGGGAAUCUCACCAGGCCCGGACACCGGAAGGAUUGACAGAUUGAGAGCUCUUUCUUGAUUCGGUGGGUGGUGGUGCAUGGCCGUUCUUAGUUGGUGGAGUGAUUUGUCUGGUUAAUUCCGAUAACGAACGAGACUCUGGCCUGCUAACUAGUCGUACUCGGUAUCCGGCGUGCUACCGGCGACUAAAUAUCUUCUUAGAGGGACAGGCGGCUUCUAGCCGCACGAGAUUGAGCAAUAACAGGUCUGUGAUGCCCUUAGAUGUCCUGGGCCGCACGCGCGCUACAAUGGAGGAAUCAGCGUGUCUUCCUAGCCCGAAAGGGCCGGGUAACCCGUUGAAAUUCCUUCUUGCUUGGGAUUGGGGCUUGCAAUUAUUCCCCAUGAACGAGGAAUUCCCAGUAAGCGCGAGUCAUCAGGUCGCGUUGAUUACGUCCCUGCCCUUUGUACACACCGCCCGUCGCUACUACCGAUUGAAUGAUUUAGUGAGGUCUUCGGACCGGUGCGCGAUGGCUCUCCGAGCUGUUGAUGUUGCUGGGAAGAUGACCAAACUUGAUCAUUUAGA